CCUACGGGUGGCAGCAGUGAGGAAUAUUGGUCAAUGGGCGAGAGUCUGAACCAGCCAAGUCGCGUGAAGGAUGACGGCCCUACGGGUUGUAAACUUCUUUUGUCAGGGAGCAAUUGGGUCCACGCGUGGGCUUAGCGAGAGUACCUGAAGAAAAAGCAUCGGCUAACCCCGUGCCAGCAGCCGCGGUAAUACGGAGGAUGCGAGCGUUAUCCGGAUUUAUUGGGUUAAAAGGGUGCGUAGGCGGGAUAUCAAGUCAGCGGGAAAAAUUCGGGCCUAAACCCCGUCGUGCCGUUGAAACUGAUGUUCUUGAGUGGGCGAGAAGUAUGCGGAAUGCGUGGUGUAGCGGUGAAACGCAUAGAUAUCACGAAGAACUCCGAUUGCGAAGGCAGCAUACCGGCGCCCAACUGACGCUGAAGCACGAAAGCGUGGGUAUCGAACAGGAUUAGAUACCCGUGUAGUC
Molecule: ribosomal RNA, 460 nt
Filed under: uncultured bacterium
Lineage: Bacteria
Description: partial 16S ribosomal RNA
Rfam family: Bacterial small subunit ribosomal RNA
Source: RNAcentral